UCUUGAUUUACACUGCAGUUUGCAGUGUUUUAUCUGGGCUACACGCUUUUUUACUAGUGCAGUGUAAUGCUUUCAAGCAACCUGUCUUAAAAUACAACUGCAACACCUAAUAUGUGAAGCAGUGGUGAUUAAUUAAGUAAAAAAGCUACAGGGU
This 154-nucleotide non-coding RNA is filed under the name unclassified sequences. RNAcentral's name for it is "RT-16 RNA". It matches the Rfam family "RT-16 RNA". Rfam says of the family: candidate division DUSEL4 (Archaea). The record is from Rfam by way of RNAcentral.